This 292-nucleotide ribosomal RNA is filed under the name uncultured bacterium. RNAcentral's name for it is "partial 16S ribosomal RNA". It matches the Rfam family "Archaeal small subunit ribosomal RNA", at positions 455 to 747 of the family's 1478-position model. The record is from RNAcentral.
GUGCCAGCCGCCGCGGUAAUACCAGCACCCCGAGUGGUCGGGACGUUUAUUGGGCCUAAAGCAUCCGUAGCCGGUUCUACAAGUCUUCCGUUAAAUCCAACUGCUUAACAGGUGGGCUGCGGAAGAUACUAUAGAGCUAGGAGGCGGGAGAGGCAAGCGGUACUCGAUGGGUAGGGGUAAAAUCCGUUGAUCCAUUGAAGACCACCAGUGGCGAAGGCGGCUUGCCAGAACGCGCUCGACGGUGAGGGAUGAAAGCUGGGGGAGCAAACCGGAUUAGAUACCCGCGUAGUCC